This 669-nucleotide small RNA is filed under the name Pongo abelii (Sumatran orangutan). Its description in RNAcentral is "retained intron". Lineage: Eukaryota; Metazoa; Chordata; Mammalia; Primates; Hominidae. The record is from RNAcentral.
AGAAGAGGGCGAAAAGGGGAAAACAAGUUUUUAGCCGGGGUCUUCCAGCAGGAUCGGGGCAGCGGGUGGGAGUCUCGAGGCAGUGAGGGGGGGCGGGGCGUGGAGAGGAAAGGGCGGAGUCUGGGUAUUUGGACCGUGAUUGUAAAGAAGCUGUUCCAACCCCGUCGGGGGGCGGCGUUUGCAGAGAGGGAAGUAGCGUGAGGCAGGUUGGGGAAGGCGUGAAAGGCCUAGGAGCACCGAGGGGCGGUGGAGGGGUGUGGCCUGGAAUGUUAGGCGGAGCGGGAGGUGGGCCGGGCUUUCGGACGCCCUGUCCCGCAGACGUUGACGAGUGCAGCGAGGAGGACCUUUGCCAGAGCGGCAUCUGUACCAACACCGACGGCUCCUUCGAGUGCGUCUGUCCUCCGGGACACCGCGCCGGCCCGGACCUCGCCUCCUGCCUCGACGUGGACGAAUGUCGCGAGCGAGGCCCAGCCCUGUGCGGGUCGCAGCGCUGUGAGAACUCUCCCGGGUCCUACCGCUGUGUGCGGGACUGCGAUCCUGGGUACCACGCGGGCCCCGAGGGCACUUGUGACGAUGUGGAUGAGUGCCAAGAAUAUGGUCCCGAGAUUUGUGGAGCUCAGCGUUGUGAGAACACCCCUGGCUCCUACCGCUGCACACCGGCCUGUGACC